UACGGAGGGUGCAAGCGUUAUCCGGAUUUACUGGGUUUAAAGGGUGCGCAGGCGGAUAUGUAAGUCAGUGGUGAAAUCUCCGGGCUUAACCCGGAAACUGCCGUUGAUACUAUAUAUCUUGAAUGCUGUGGAGGUAAGCAGAAUAUGUCAUGUAGCGGUGAAAUGCUUAGAGAUGACAUAGAACACCAAUUGCGAAGGCAGCUGGCUACACAAAUAUUGACACUGAGGCACGAAAGCGUGGGGAUCAAACAGG
This 253-nucleotide ribosomal RNA is filed under the name uncultured bacterium. Its description in RNAcentral is "partial 16S ribosomal RNA". It matches the Rfam family "Bacterial small subunit ribosomal RNA", at positions 524 to 776 of the family's 1533-position model. The record is from RNAcentral.